AUGAACGCUAGCGGCAGGCCUAACACAUGCAAGUCGAGGGGGAAGUUACUUUCGGGUGACUGAGACCGGCGUACGGGUGCGUAACGCGUAUACAAUCUGCCUUUCACUGGGGGAUAGCCCGAAGAAAUUUGGAUUAAUACCCCAUAGUAUAUAGGGACGGCAUCGUUUUUAUAUUAAAGCUUAGGUGGUGAAAGAUGAGUAUGCGUUCUAUUAGCUAGUUGGAGAGGUAACGGCUCCCCAAGGCGAUGAUAGAUAGGGGUUCUGAGAGGGAUGUCCCCCACACUGGUACUGAGAUACGGACCAGACUCCUACGGGAGGCAGCAGUGAGGAAUAUUGGACAAUGGUCGGAAGACUGAUCCAGCCAUGUCGCGUGCAGGAUGAAGGUCUUAUGGAUUGUAAACUGCUUUUGUAAGGGAAGAAUAAGGGCUACGCGUAGUUUGAUGACGGUACCUUACGAAUAAGCAUCGGCUAACUCCGUG
Molecule: ribosomal RNA, 479 nt
Filed under: uncultured bacterium
Lineage: Bacteria
Description: partial 16S ribosomal RNA
Rfam family: Bacterial small subunit ribosomal RNA
Source: RNAcentral